UUUGCAUAUUAUAGCAAGUUGCUGAGUCGUUGAAUCCUUCAAACAUGGCAACUGAAAUAUCACUCUUAUCAUACUGAAAGCGACGUUAGUGGACAUGCAUUUAAGUCAAAGUCUAACCAAUUAGACAGUGGAGAGAAAGGUCAUAUCCUUUUCAAAGAACAAAAGAAAACUACAUCAAUAUAUAAAACCACAUCAACCAAAGAAGAUCCAUCUUUCUAUAUUCAUUUGUGUAUUUAUUAACAACAUGUCCAUAAGAAAAUCGUUUUUUGCUAAUGUUUUUCUCUUUGCUACAUUCAUAACAAGCUGUGUUGCCCAGAGUAAUACUACUACUACUACUCUAUGUGUUCCUUUUUACUGCAAAGGUGAUCUAUUAAUAGAUGUUGUUAUGGUGAUAAAAUAUCUUGUGGGAGUCGUAAUCUUGAUUGCAGUAGUGGUGUGGCAGUACAAAAGACGGAAUAUGAACACAUGGAAUGAUGGUUUGGAGAAUAAUAGAGCUUCCUCCAAUGAACAAAACUGUUAGGAUUGUUGCAAAGCACAUACAGACCACAUGAUAUUAGACCGGAGGGUGUGGAGGUCACGAAUUAAAGUAGAAUUUUAGUAGGUAGUGAAAUAUUGUCUUGCUUUUAGAGGACUUAGGUUGGUUUCUGUUGGUGUUGUAUCAGCCGCACUAUUGUAGUUCUUGUUUUUUAAUAUUUAUCAUUAUUUUUGUUUAUUA
Capsicum annuum is the source of this 715-nucleotide long non-coding RNA. RefSeq lists it as uncharacterized. The record is from RefSeq and is a predicted model, not a curated record. The transcript has 2 exons. Lineage: Eukaryota; Viridiplantae; Streptophyta; Magnoliopsida; Solanales; Solanaceae.